GCAGCCGCGGUAAUACGGGGGAUGCAAGCGUUAUCCGGAUUUAUUGGGUUUAAAGGGUGCGUAGGCGGCAUUGUAAGUCAGCGGUGAAAUUUCGGAGCUCAACUUCGAACGUGCCGUUGAUACUGCAGUGCUAGAAUGCGGAUGCCGUGGGAGGAAUGUGUGGUGUAGCGGUGAAAUGCAUAGAUAUCACACAGAACACCGAUUGCGAAGGCAUCUCACGAAUCCGCUAUUGACGCUGAGGCACGAAAGCGUGGGGAUCAAACAGGAUUAGAUACCCC
This 278-nucleotide ribosomal RNA is filed under the name uncultured Eubacterium sp. RNAcentral describes it as "partial 16S ribosomal RNA". It matches the Rfam family "Bacterial small subunit ribosomal RNA", at positions 511 to 788 of the family's 1533-position model. The record is from RNAcentral. Lineage: Bacteria; Bacillati; Bacillota; Clostridia; Eubacteriales; Eubacteriaceae.